ACUACUACUGCUACUACCACUAAUAGUACCACUACAAAUAGUAAAACUAUAAUCAAACUUAGUAACAUAAAUAAUUUUUCAGGCUAUUAUAAAUAUGUCGCUGAAAAUGUAGAGAAUAUACCCAUAACGAUAGAAAAUAUAAGUAUUCUGUUAGCUCUAUCUUUAUAUUUUUUAAAUUGUAAUAUUAAUAAUAAUUUACCUGAAUGUAAUAUAAAAAAUGGAAUGCUUAUAAAAUUAUUAAAUAAGUGUUUAUUCUGUUUGAAUCUGAAAACUUGUCUGAUAAAUAAAAACAAGGGAAACAAUGAUAGUGAUAAAUAUUUUUAUAUACAGAUCAUGGAAGAUAAGGAAAGUGGUACUACCAGCGGAUCAACAGUUAAUAAGAUAAAAACAGUUAAUAAGAUAAAGGAGGAAGGGGUAACAAAAAGUAAGGAAAUAACAAAUAACGAUGAGAAGGAAGAAGAAAUUAAGUUUUUUACUUUUUAUAAUAAAAGAAUAGUUUUACAUGCACCAAAUAGUAACGAUAUGAGAGAUGGAUUUGCAAAUAGAGGGGAACAAUACGAUAUUAAUAACAACAUUCAGACAAAUAAACUUAAUAAUAAAUGUUUUUAUUUUAGUAAAGAUAUGAAAAUAAUAUCAUUAAUAGAUAUUUAUAAAAUUUGUUGGUGUUUAUGUGUUUUAAAAAAAAAUGAUGCAUUUAUAGAUUUGUUACGCAUUUUGUUUAAUGAAAUAGAAAGUAUGACGAUUAUAAAAGAAUUUAUUUUUUGUAUUUUAUAUAUUUUUAAGUAUUGUGAUGUUUUAGGACUAAACGAAUGUAAACGUUAUUUGAAUAAUAAUAUAAAUAUAAAUAUAGAGAAUAAUAAUUUUGAAAAUAUAUGUAUGUACAUGCAUUUAUUACAUAUGUGUUCAUUAACUAAUGACAAAACUGAUUUAUCUAUCAAUCACAAAAAAAAUAUUGAUCGAAUUAUAACAUAUUUUUAUGAUAAUAUAGAAAAUAUUAAUAUAUAUGUAUGUACCAAUCUAUUAUGUAUUUUAGCUAAUUUAAAUAUAAAAAAUAAUGAUUAUCCAUAUUUUUUUAAUAAAGUAUUAAACUAUUUAAAAAGUAAUAUAAAAAAAAUGAAUAAAGGAGUAUUAAUAGUUAAUGUAUUAUGGUCUUUAUGUAUUAUAGAAGUUACAUGUACUGUUUUUUUUAAAGACUUAAGUGAAUAUAUUAUAAAUAUACUUCAUUGUAUAUCUUUAUAUGAUUUUAUAACUAUAUGUUGUUCUUUUGGAUGCCAAAAAAUGCUUGUUAUUAAAAACUUUUUUGAUUUUGAAAAAAAAGCGAAAGAGUUGAAACAUAACCCAAGAGAGAGUAAAUAUAUCAAAGCAGGUAAACGUAAUAGUAUAACCACCAAUAAACCUACUACUGAUAAUAAAGAAAUAAAAUUUAAUGAACAUCAGACUGAUUAUGCAAAAUAUGAAUUAUCCAUUAACCAAUAUUAUGAAAAAAAAAAAAUAUUUCCUUCUUAUUUUUAUCAAAAACGUAUAUCUCAAAUCAUAAUUUUUAAAACCUUAGCUUAUAAUUUUUUACAUCAUGAACAACAUAUAAGCACAGGUGAUGUCACACGAGACGACAUAGUAGAC
This is a long non-coding RNA of Piliocolobus tephrosceles (Ugandan red Colobus), 1620 nucleotides long. Lineage: Eukaryota; Metazoa; Chordata; Mammalia; Primates; Cercopithecidae. The record is from Ensembl.